UAGACGCAUGCAUGGAGUAUUAAAUAUAGACGAAAAUAAAAAUUAAUUGUACAAUUUGGUCAGAAUUGACGAGACGAAUCUUUUGAGCCUAGUUAGUCCAUAAUUGGACAAUAUUUGUCAAAUACAAACGAAACUGCUACAGUGUCGAUUUUCCAAAAUUUUUCGGAACUGAAAAAGGCCUAGUAUACCUAGGCAGCAGUCCAUCGAACACCAGUUGAACAUCCAAUUAAUGGAGCAGAUGCGUGGACUGACUUGUAGAGAGGCCAUUGGAAUGAUACGC
This 280-nucleotide long non-coding RNA is filed under the name Sorghum bicolor (sorghum). RNAcentral describes it as "long non-coding RNA (SBIC_LNC009378)". The record is from RNAcentral. Lineage: Eukaryota; Viridiplantae; Streptophyta; Magnoliopsida; Poales; Poaceae.